GAAAUGCGAUAAGUAAUGUGAAUUGCGGAAUUCAGUGAAUCAUCGAAUCUUUGAACGCACCUUGCGCUCCUUGGUAUUCCUUGGAGCAUGCCUGUUUGAGUAUCAUGAAAUCUUCAAAGUAAAUCUUUUGUUAACUCAAUUGGUUUCUACUUUGGUAUUGGAGGUCUUUGCAGCUUCACACCUGCUCCUCUUUGUUCAUUAGCUGGAUCUCAGUGUUAUGCUUGGUUCCACUCGGCGUGAUAAGUUAUCUAUCGCUGAGGACACUGUAAAAGGUGGCCAAGGUAAAUGCAGAUGAACCGCUUCUAAUAGUCCAUUGACUUGGACAAUACUUUUAUGAUCUGAUCUCAAAUCAGGUAGGACUACCCGCUGAACUUAAGC
RNAcentral lists this unclassified non-coding RNA (378 nucleotides) under plant metagenome. RNAcentral describes it as "partial contains 5.8S ribosomal RNA, internal transcribed spacer 2, and large subunit ribosomal RNA". The stretch from base 1 to 105 matches the Rfam family "5.8S ribosomal RNA", at positions 50 to 154 of the family's 154-position model. The record is from RNAcentral.